Molecule: ribosomal RNA, 1367 nt
Filed under: uncultured prokaryote
Description: partial 16S ribosomal RNA
Rfam family: Bacterial small subunit ribosomal RNA
Source: RNAcentral
UUGAACGCUGGCGGCAGGCCUAACACAUGCAAGUCGAGCGAGAAAGCACUUCGGUGUGAGUAGAGCGGCGGACGGGUGAGUAACGCGUAGGAAACUGCCUGGUAGUGGGGGACAACAGUUGGAAACGACUGCUAAUACCGCAUACGCCCUACGGGGGAAAGCAGGGGAUCUUCGGACCUUGCGCUACCAGAUGUGCCUGCGUCGGAUUAGCUUGUUGGUGGGGUAAUGGCCUACCAAGGCGACGAUCCGUAGCUGGUCUGAGAGGAUGAUCAGCCACACUGGGACUGAGACACGGCCCAGACUCCUACGGGAGGCAGCAGUGGGGAAUAUUGGACAAUGGGCGCAAGCCUGAUCCAGCCAUGCCGCGUGUGUGAAGAAGGCUCUAGGGUUGUAAAGCACUUUAAGUGGGGAGGAAAGGUUGUUGGUUAAUAGCUAACAGCUGUGACGUUACCCACAGAAUAAGCACCGGUUAACUCCGUGCCAGUAGUUGUGGUAAUACGGAGGGUGCAAGCGUUAAUCGGAAUUACUGGGCGUAAAGCGUUCGUAGGCGGUCUAUUAAGCAAGAUGUGAAAGCCCAGGGCUCAACCUUGGAACUGCAUUUUGAACUGGUAGACUAGAGUACUGUAGAGGGUGGUGGAAUUUCCAGUGUAGCGGUGAAAUGCGUAGAGAUUGGAAGGAACAUCAGUGGCGAAGGCGACACUCUGGACCAAUACUGACGCUGAGGUGCGAAAGCGGGGGGGGAGCAAACAGGAUUAGAUACCCUGGUAGUCCACGCCGUAAACGAUGUCUACUAGCCGUUGGGUUCCUUGAGGACUUAGUGGCGCAGCUAACGCAUUAAGUAGACCGCCUGGGGAGUACGGCCGCAAGGUUAAAACUCAAAUGAAUUGACGGGGGCCCGCACAAGCGGUGGAGCAUGUGGUUUAAUUCGAUGCAAUGCGAAGAAUCUUACCAGGUCUUGACAUCCUACUAAGUUUCCAGAGAUGGAAUCGUGCCUUCGGGAAAGUAGUGACAGGUGCUGUAUGGCUGUCGUCAGCUCGUGUCGUGGGAUGUUGGGUUAAGUCCCGUAACGAGCGCAACCCUUGUCCUUAGUUGCCAGCGCGUAAUGGUGGGAACUCUAAGGAGACUGCCGGUGACAAACCGGAGGAAGGUGGGGACGACGUCAAGUCAUCAUGGCCCUUACGACCUGGGCUACACACGUGCUACAAUGGUUGGUACAGAGGGUUGCCAAGCCGCGAGGUGGAGCUAAUCCCAGAAAACCGAUCGUAGUCCGGAUUGGAGUCUGCAACUCGACUCCAUGAAGUCGGAAUCGCUAGUAAUCGCGAAUCAGAAUGUCGCGGUGAAUACGUUCCCGGGCCUUGUACACACCG